CCUACGGGAGGCAGCAGUGGGGAAUAUUGCGCAAUGGGCGAAAGCCUGACGCAGCGACGCCGCGUGAGGGAUGAAGGUCUUCGGAUCGUAAACCUCUGUCAGCAGGGAAGAACGGUCACUGUGCUAAUCAGCAGUGCAUUGACGGUACCUGCAAAGGAAGCACCGGCUAACUCCGUGCCAGCAGCCGCGGUAAUACGGAGGGUGCGCUCGUUAAUCGGAAUUACUGGGCGUAAAGCGCUCGUAGGCGGUAUGUCAAGUCAAGGGUGAAAUCCCCGCGCUCAACGGGGGAACUGCCUUUGAAACUGGCAAACUGGAGUGUGUGAGAGGAUAGUGGAAUUCCAGGUGUAGGAGUGAAAUCCGUAGAUAUCUGGAGGAACAUCAGUGGCGAAGGCGACUAUCUGGCACAUAACUGACGCUGAGGAGCGAAAGCGUGGGUAGCAAACAGGAUUAGAUACCCCAGUAGUC
RNAcentral lists this ribosomal RNA (465 nucleotides) under uncultured bacterium. RNAcentral describes it as "partial 16S ribosomal RNA". It matches the Rfam family "Bacterial small subunit ribosomal RNA", at positions 338 to 795 of the family's 1533-position model. The record is from RNAcentral.